UGACUUACCUGGCAGGGGAGACACCUUGAUCAUGAAGGAGGUUUUCCCAGGGUGAGGCUCAUGCAUUGCAUGUUGCACCUUUGACCACAGACCAGACUUGGACCUCGCCUCUCUGGUAACCCAUGGGACCAGCACACUGCCCC
Molecule: small nuclear RNA, 143 nt
Filed under: Podarcis muralis (Common wall lizard)
Lineage: Eukaryota; Metazoa; Chordata; Lepidosauria; Squamata; Lacertidae
Description: U1 spliceosomal RNA (ENSPMRG00000002551.1)
Rfam family: U1 spliceosomal RNA
About the family: U1 is a small nuclear RNA (snRNA) component of the spliceosome (involved in pre-mRNA splicing). Its 5' end forms complementary base pairs with the 5' splice junction, thus defining the 5' donor site of an intron. There are significant differences in sequence and secondary structure between metazoan and yeast U1 snRNAs, the latter being much longer (568 nucleotides as compared to 164 nucleotides in human).
Source: RNAcentral